Molecule: ribosomal RNA, 438 nt
Filed under: uncultured bacterium
Lineage: Bacteria
Description: bacterial SSU rRNA
Rfam family: Bacterial small subunit ribosomal RNA
Source: RNAcentral
GAUGAACGCUGGCGGUAUGCCUGACACAUGCAAGUCGUACGAGAGUUUUUAACUCUAGUGGCGGACGGGUGAGUAACACGUGAGAAUUUGCCUUUAGGAGGGGGAUAACAAUUGGAAACGAAUGCUAAUACCCCAUAUGCUUUUGAGUGAAACGGAUUUAUCCGCCUAGAGAGAAGCUCGCGGCUGAUUAGCUUGUUGGUAAGGUAAGAGCUUACCAAGGCGACGAUCAGUAUCUGGUUUGAGAGGACGAUCAGACACACUGGAACUGAGACACGGUCCAGACUCCUACGGGAGGCAGCAGUGGGGAAUUUUCCGCAAUGGGCGAAAGCCUGACGGAGCAAUACCGCGUGAGGGAAGACUGCCUAUGGGUUGUAAACCUCUUUUUCAGGGAGGAAUAAAUGACGUGUACCUGAAGAAUAAGCAUCGGCUAACUCCGUG